GACGAACGCUGGCGGCGUGCCUAACACAUGCAAGUCGAACGGAAAGGCCCUGCUUUUGUGGGGUGUUCGAGUGGCGAACAGAUGAGUCACACGUGAGUAACCUGCCCUUGACUUUGGGAUAACUUCAGGACACUGGGGCUAAUACAGGCCAGGAGCUACUGCUGCAUGGUGGGGGUUGGCAAGUUUCGGCGGUUGUGGAUGGACUCGAGGCUUAUCGGCUUGUUGGUGGGGUAGUGGCUUACCAAGGCUUUGACGGGUAGCCGGCCUGAGUGGGUGACCGGCCACAUUGGGACUGAGAGACGGCCCAGUCUCCUACGGUAGGCAAUAGUCGCAAAUAUUGCGCAAUGGGGGGAAGUCUGUUACGGCAGCGCCGCGUGCGGGAUGACGUCCUUCUGGUGGAAAACGGCUGUCGCAUGUGACGAACCGUGAGUGACGGUAAUGGGUUAGGAAGCACCGGCUAACUAAGUG
RNAcentral lists this ribosomal RNA (468 nucleotides) under uncultured bacterium. RNAcentral's name for it is "partial 16S ribosomal RNA". It matches the Rfam family "Bacterial small subunit ribosomal RNA", at positions 28 to 507 of the family's 1533-position model. The record is from RNAcentral.